Molecule: unclassified non-coding RNA, 336 nt
Filed under: soil metagenome
Description: partial contains 5.8S ribosomal RNA, internal transcribed spacer 2, and large subunit ribosomal RNA
Rfam family: 5.8S ribosomal RNA (bases 1-120)
Source: RNAcentral
GAUGAAGAACGUAGCGAAAUGCGAUAAGUAAUGUGAAUUGCAGAAUUCAGUGAAUCAUCGAAUCUUUGAACGCACAUUGCGCCCGCCAGUAUUCUGGCGGGCAUGUCUGUUCGAGCGUCAUUUCAACCAUCAAGCCCCAGGCUUGUGUUGGGGACCUGCGGCUGCCGCAGGCCCUGAAAACCAGUGGCGGGCUCGCUGUCACACCGGGCGUAGUAGAUUUUAUCUCGCUCAGGGCGUGCUGCGGGUUCCGGCCGUUAAAAAGCCUUUUUUACCCAAGGUUGACCUCGGAUCAGGUAGGAAUACCCGCUGAACUUAAGCAUAUCAAUAAGCGGAGGA